ACAAACUUGGUCAUUUAGAGGAAGUAAAAGUCGUAACAAGGUUUCCGUAGGUGAACCUGCGGAAGGAUCAUUAUUGAACUUAAUAAUUGGUUUGGGUUUGUUGCUGGCUUCUUCAGCAAUGUGCACAACCCAGGCCACCUUUUUAUACCACUAGUGAACCUCUUGUAGACCUGAAGCCAAUCAAACAAGUUCGGAAAACUUGUUUGGAGAUUUGGAUUGCUGGUGCAGUUCAUGGCCAGCCUUUCUUUGAUUCAGGUUUAUGUUUUACAAACAACUAAUAUAUAUUUGGACUGUUGUGAAUAUGAAAAUCCUUUCAUAAAAUGAAAUACAACUUUCAACAACGGAUCUCUUGGCUCUCGCAUCGAUGAAGAACGCAGC
RNAcentral lists this unclassified non-coding RNA (378 nucleotides) under uncultured fungus. Its description in RNAcentral is "partial contains small subunit ribosomal RNA, internal transcribed spacer 1, and 5.8S ribosomal RNA". The stretch from base 1 to 73 matches the Rfam family "Eukaryotic small subunit ribosomal RNA", at positions 1759 to 1831 of the family's 1831-position model. The record is from RNAcentral. Lineage: Eukaryota; Fungi.